This 230-nucleotide transfer-messenger RNA is filed under the name Bacteroidales bacterium. RNAcentral describes it as "partial transfer-messenger RNA". It matches the Rfam family "transfer-messenger RNA", at positions 1 to 193 of the family's 374-position model. Rfam says of the family: Bacterial tmRNA, also known as 10Sa RNA or SsrA, is named for its dual tRNA and mRNA-like properties. The record is from RNAcentral. Lineage: Bacteria; Pseudomonadati; Bacteroidota; Bacteroidia; Bacteroidales.
GGGGGUGACCGGUUUUGACAGCAAGAUGAAUUGUCACGGAAGCAUGCCGAGCACGGUGGCGAAGCUCGUAAAUCCUGGCUGCAAAAAAUUAAUUGGCGAAAAUAACUACGCUUUCGCUGCCUGAUCGAAGUACAGUAGAUCACUGGCUUAAUCCGCCCACAAGGUGGGUGGACGAAACAUCCCGCAGGUGGAGAUGCCUGAUUCCGGCCUGAGCACGGGGUGCUAAUCAA